RNAcentral lists this non-coding RNA (29 nucleotides) under Homo sapiens (human). The record is from RNAcentral. Lineage: Eukaryota; Metazoa; Chordata; Mammalia; Primates; Hominidae.
UGUGCACUAGCUGUCAUUGGAUAAGUCAU